This 24-nucleotide non-coding RNA is filed under the name Gossypium hirsutum (cotton). The record is from RNAcentral. Lineage: Eukaryota; Viridiplantae; Streptophyta; Magnoliopsida; Malvales; Malvaceae.
AAAAAACUCGAGAUCAAGGGCUGG